AUGUGGUUUGUCCAUAAACAAGUUAUUUUAACAAAGGACAACUUGAUUAAACGCAAUUGGACAGGUCCUACUAGGUGUAGUUUCUGUGAUCGGGAUGAGACGAUUAAGCAUUUAUUCUUUGAUUGCCCGUUGGCUAGAGUUCUUUGGCGGACGAUUCAUAUUGCUUUUAAUCUUCCUCCACCGACUUCUGUCUUUGCUUUAUUUGGGACAUGGCUUCAUGGGGUUGGGCCUGUUCUCACAAGACAUAUUCGGGUUGGAGUUUGCGCUUUGUUAUGGACUAUCUGGAAUUGCAGAAAUGAUUUGGUUUUUAACAGAACAUCACGGAUUCAUUUUUUGCAGGUUAUUUUCCGAGCUACGGCACUAAUCCGUUCAUGGUCGCUACUCACUCCGAUGGAGGCCAGGGAGCAUUUGGUUACUGGAUCUAUCCAUUGGGAGAUGGUCGCUCGGGAUAUCUUCAACCGGUUUGGAUGGCGGUCAUGUAAUAGGAUAGGCAAUUAG
Molecule: ribosomal RNA, 498 nt
Filed under: Triticum aestivum (bread wheat)
Lineage: Eukaryota; Viridiplantae; Streptophyta; Magnoliopsida; Poales; Poaceae
Description: partial small subunit ribosomal RNA
Source: RNAcentral